RNAcentral lists this ribosomal RNA (253 nucleotides) under uncultured bacterium. Its description in RNAcentral is "partial 16S ribosomal RNA". It matches the Rfam family "Bacterial small subunit ribosomal RNA", at positions 524 to 776 of the family's 1533-position model. The record is from RNAcentral.
UACGUAGGGUGCAAGCGUUGUCCGGAAUUAUUGGGCGUAAAGAGCUCGUAGGCGGUCAGUCGCGUCUGCUGUGAAAACUCGGGGCUUAACUCCGGGCCUGCAGUGGGUACGGGCUGACUAGGGUGCGGUAGGGGAGACUGGAAUUCCUGGUGUAGCGGUGAAAUGCGCAGAUAUCAGGAGGAACACCGGUGGCGAAGGCGGGUCUCUGGGCCGUAACUGACGCUGAGGAGCGAAAGCGUGGGGAGCGAACAGG